RNAcentral lists this ribosomal RNA (460 nucleotides) under uncultured bacterium. Its description in RNAcentral is "partial 16S ribosomal RNA". It matches the Rfam family "Bacterial small subunit ribosomal RNA", at positions 338 to 795 of the family's 1533-position model. The record is from RNAcentral.
CCUACGGGAGGCAGCAGUGGGGAAUAUUGGGCAAUGGGCGCAAGCCUGACCCAGCAACGUAGCGUGAAGGAUGACUGCCCUACGGGUUGUAACCUUCUUUUAUAGGGACGUAAAGUGAGACGCGUGUGCCUGUAUAUGUGUCCUUUAUGAAUGUGCAUCGACUAACUCCGUGCCAGCAGCCGCGGUAAUACGGAGGAUCCAAGCGUUGUCCGGAUUUAUUGGGUGUAAAGGGAGCGUAGAUGGGUUGGUAAGUCAGUUGUGAAAGUUUGCGGCUCAACCGCAAAAUUGCAAUUGAUACUGGCAGCCUUGAGUGAAGUUGAGGUAGGCGGAAUUCGUGGUGUAGCGGUGAAAUGCUUAGAUAUCACGAAGAACUCCGAUUGCGAAGGCAGCUUACUAAACUGCGACUGACAUUGAGGCUCGAAAGUGUGGGUAUCAAACAGGAUUAGAUACCCGGGUAGUC